RNAcentral lists this ribosomal RNA (497 nucleotides) under uncultured bacterium. RNAcentral's name for it is "partial 16S ribosomal RNA". It matches the Rfam family "Bacterial small subunit ribosomal RNA", at positions 28 to 507 of the family's 1533-position model. The record is from RNAcentral.
GACGAACGCUGGCGGCGUGCCUAAUACAUGCCAGUUGAGCGCUGAAGGUUGGUACUUGUACCAACUGGAUGAGCAGCGAACGGGUGAGUAACGCGUGGGGAAUCUGCCUUUGAGCGGGGGACAACAUUUGGAAACGAAUGCUAAUACCGCAUAAAAACUUUAAACACAAGUUUUAAGUUUGAAAGAUGCAAUUGCAUCACUCAAAGAUGAUCCCGCGUUGUAUUAGCUAGUUGGUGAGGUAAAGGCUCACCAAGGCGAUGAUACAUAGCCGACCUGAGAGGGUGAUCGGCCAAAUUGGGACUGAGACACGGCCCAAAAGCCUACGGGAGGCAGCAGUAGGGAAUCUUCGGCAAUGGACGAAAGUCUGACCGAGCAACGCCGCGGGAGUGAAGAAGGUUUUCGGAUCGUAAAACUCUGUUGGUAGAGAAGAACGUUGGUGAGAGUGGAAAGCUCAUCAAGUGACGGUAACUACACAGAAAGGGACGGCUAACUACGUG